UACGUAGGGUGCAAGCGUUGUCCGGAUUUAUUGGGCGUAAAGAGCGUGUAGGCGGUUUGGUAGGUCCGCUGUGAAAACUCGGGGCUCAACCCCGAGCCUGCAGUCGAUACGGGCAGACUAGAGUGCUGUAGGGGAGACUGGAAUUCCUGGUGUAGCGGUGAAAUGCGCAGAUAUCAGGAGGAACACCGGUGGCGAAGGCGGGUCUCUGGGCAGUAACUGACGCUGAGGAGCGAAAGCGUGGGGAGCGAACAGG
This 253-nucleotide ribosomal RNA is filed under the name uncultured bacterium. Its description in RNAcentral is "partial 16S ribosomal RNA". It matches the Rfam family "Bacterial small subunit ribosomal RNA", at positions 524 to 776 of the family's 1533-position model. The record is from RNAcentral.